GAGUUUGAGAGAGGGAGAGUCAGAGUUUGAGAGAGGGAGAGUGAGAGAUCGGGAGAGGGAGCCAGAGAUGGAGUCGACCCGGAACCCAGGGAACCCGAUCCUCCGUGGGUGGUGGCCAUGACCGAAAUCCAGCGAGGCAGGGAGCGGUUUCUGGCGAGCCCGUGACUCGUGUGUGCGCAUAACCGGAAGACCCAUCAAACUAGUGCAGCCCGUGACCCGAGAGAGAGAAAACCCGGAAAGGUUUCGGUGAGCCGUGAGCCAGGGAGGUCCGAUCCUCCAUGUCCGGUGGUCAGAGGGAAAUCCGGCGGACCAAUGGCGGUUUCCGACGAAACCAUAAACCCGAACCCACCCAGCCAUGACCCAGUGACCGAGAACCUGUGAAGCCGACCUUCAGUGGCGAUGUCCGGCGCGUUUUCCGGCGGGAUAGGUGUUUCUCCGGCCGAACCUUCAAAGACCCACGACCCGUACGAUCUGCAACCCGCCAGACCCGAGAGCCCAGAUGCCGAUCCUUCUCCUUCCUUCAUCCUUUCUCUUCUAUAUUGUUUCUUCUCUUCUUUGUCUAAGUCGCAGAGAGAGAGGAACCGUGAGAUGAGAGAGACCGAGAGAAAGAGAGUGAAUCAGAGGAGAGACUCGGAGGGAGAGAGAGAGAGAGAGCUGAACAGAGAGAGGACUUGACCUCCGGAAGGCCCAAUUUUCUGGCCAAUCGCGGUGGGUCGGAGCAGAGGACGCCGGCAGAGCUGGAGGACGCGAACUCCGGCGAUUUUCGUGGGAGAUUUUCGGUGGCUUUUCUCUGGUUUUAAUCAUGAAAUCCCAAGGUAAAAGCUCGAUCCCGAUGCUAAUGGAAAGUCCAGAUGACAACCGUAAGACGAAGACUUUUUCUUGUAAGGGCGUAGACCUCGCUGAGAGCGAUAGUUCGUGAUGAACCAGCCAAACCCUAAUAUUGUAUAGUAUGAUUUGUUCCUUUUGGAGUUCAUGAUUUUGUAUAGAUUUAUAAAUAGAAAGGUUUAAGAGAGUAGAAAUUUUAAAUUUUUAGUUGUAAAUGCACGCUUUCAUUUAUAAUGUUUGUUUUUAGCA
Molecule: long non-coding RNA, 1074 nt
Organism: Alnus glutinosa
Lineage: Eukaryota; Viridiplantae; Streptophyta; Magnoliopsida; Fagales; Betulaceae
Exons: 3
Source: RefSeq, a predicted model, not a curated record